RNAcentral lists this long non-coding RNA (2226 nucleotides) under Canis lupus familiaris (dog). Its description in RNAcentral is "lncRNA (ENSCAFG00845025835.1)". Lineage: Eukaryota; Metazoa; Chordata; Mammalia; Carnivora; Canidae. The record is from RNAcentral.
CCUGCGAUCAAGUUCCAUGAAAAAUAGAGACCAAAACAAAUAAAUAGGACAGAGAAAUUUAGAGGUAUAGAGAUAAUGCCAGAAACAAAAGAAAAUAUCAAAAAUAAAACUACUGGGAUGCCUGGGUGGCUCAGUGUUGAGUGUCCGCCUUUGGCUCAGGUCGAGAUCCUGGAGUCCUGGGAUAGAGUCCCACAUCAGGCUCCCCACAGGGAGCCUGCUUCUCCGAGUAUGUCUCUGCCUCUCUCUGUAUGUCUCUCAUGAAUAAUAAAUAAAAUCUUAAAAAAAAAAAAACAAAAACAAAACCAUACACACAAGUUUCACCCUAUUAUCAUCCUACCUUUCUCAUAGCUUUUUUCUGUCUCCUCCAGCUCUAUGUCCCGUUCAUCCCCAAUGAACAUAAUACACCUGCUUUGGCCCUCUCUUCAGUCUAUACCUACAAUGUCCAAUAUAGUAGCCAUCAGUCAAACAUAGUUAUUUAAACUUAAUUAAAACUAAAUAAAAAUUCAACUCUUCAGUUGCACUGAGCCAUAUUUCAAGUGCUCAACAGCUCAACAACUUAAAAGUGGCUAGCAGCCACUCUAUUAAGAUUUUUUUUUUUUUAAGAUCUUAUUUCUUUAUUCAUGAGAGACACACACACAUAGAGAGAGAGAGAGAGAGAGAGAGAGAGGCAGAGACACAGGCAGAGGGAGAAGCAGGCUCCAUACAGGGAGCCCGACGACGUGAGACUCCAUCCCGGGUCUCCAGGAUCAGGCCCAGGGCUGAAGGUGGCGCUAAACUGCUGAGCUACCUGGGCCGCCCUCUAUUAAGAUUUAGAACAUUUCCAUGCAAGUUCUAUUGGACAGUGAUAGUCUAUAUACUCUCUUUCCAUUGAACUGACUGAUAUUUAUGGAGGGUCUUUUGUGUACCAGGCACUGUUCUGGACCCUAAAGAUAGAGCACUGGAGAAAACAAAGUCCUGCUAUGGAGCCGACAUCUAGUAGGAGGAAAGAGACAAUCUCAUUUAUUUCCAAACUGUCAUAGGGCUCCUAAGGCCUCUCCUGGGCUCCUAACUUGAAAUUUACAGCUUCUGCUAGAGUGCUAUGAAUUAUUAUACUCUGUCCCAAACUGAAUUCGGUAUCUUCUUUUUCCUCUCAAAUUUCCUUUUACUGUAUUCUUGAUUUCUUUCUUUCUUUCUUUCUUUUUAAAGAUUUAUCCAUUCAUGAUAGACACAGAAAGAGAGAGAAAGAGAGAGAGAGAGAGAGAGAGGCAGAGGGAGGGAAAAGCAGGCUCCAUGCCGGGAGCCCGACGCAGGACUCGAUCCCAGGUCUCCAGGAUGGCGCCCUAGGCCAAAGGCAGGCGCCAAACCGCUGAGCCACCCAGGGAUCCCCUGUAUUCUUGAUUUCUGAGUAACCCUGGCCUUUUUCUCCUAUGUCCUACCACAUCCAGUUACCAAACCUUGUUGAAUUUAUCUGUACUAAACCUCUCUCUCUACCUUUACUGUCACUGCCCUAAUGAACUCUUGGCCCAAAGCCUCCAAAAUUAACUUCUCUAACUGAUCCUUCCACAUUUGCUUCAUGCAUGUCCUAGUUCACCCUAGUCCAUCUGGCAUUAAUAUUAUGCUUCUAAAACACAAAUUUGAUCCUGUAGUUUCCCAGAUCAAAAACCACCAGAUAAACGCCUUAAGUAUAAAACAAAUCCCUUAGCACAAACUCAAAGCAUCACAUAAUUUGGUUACAAACUACUUUAUCCUUCUAAUCUACUCUCCUGCUACAUACUGUACUACCCAGCCACCCCAAAUUACUAGAUCCCUUCAGGAAUCAAUCUCUCCCACAAAAUCUUCUACUUUUCUCCACUUAAAUACACAAAUACAAUCUCUUCAGCCACGAAGGCUGAUUCAAAGGACACCUGUCUCUUAAGUCUCUUAUCUCCCAAUCAAUCUUAAUUAUUUACUCUACAGAACUGCUGUAGUAAUUACACAUAAUCAUCAUACGUACAUCAUAUUCUCAGCGUCUGGUACCUGGGGAGUACCACGUUAAAGGACUAAAUACUUCUCUGAACAUUUAUGUCUGUGUUACGCGGAAAGACCCAUUUUUCGGUCAUAUUCGUGGAAACCUUUUCUUUCCUAGUAGGACUCAACAGCUUCAUACUCUGCGGGUAUUCGAGAAGUACUCAACAGAAUGUAAGGCCUGCGCGGUAUUUUCUCACAUUCGGAGCCAGCGCAUCGAUGCUGCCUGACUGGAGGCUCUGC